GGUGUUGGAUGUCCCGGUUCAAGCGUGUAGUCGUGGUCUCUAGGCAAAUCCGGAGAUCUUAGAUGAGGCGUGAUAACGAGGAAGCUUGCUUCCGAAGUGAGUGAUACCCUGCUUCCAGGAAAAGCCACUAAGCUUCAGCUUGCAACGACCGUACCGCAAACCGACACUGGUGCGCGAGAUGAGUAUUCUAAGGCGCUUGAGAGAACUCAGGAGAAGGAACUCGGCAAAUUGACACCGUAACUUCGGAAGAAGGUGUGCCCUAUUAGUGUGAAGUGAACAACGGAGCAUGAAUGGGUUGCAAAAAAUCGGUGGCUGCGACUGUUUAUUAAAAACACAGCACUCUGCAAAGACGAAAGUCGACGUAUAGGGUGUGACGCCUGC
This 381-nucleotide ribosomal RNA is filed under the name Climacostomum virens. RNAcentral describes it as "partial Bacterial large subunit ribosomal RNA". It matches the Rfam family "Bacterial large subunit ribosomal RNA", at positions 1494 to 1862 of the family's 2925-position model. Lineage: Eukaryota; Ciliophora; Heterotrichea; Heterotrichida; Climacostomidae. The record is from RNAcentral.